Non-coding RNA from Pelobates cultripes (western spadefoot toad), 223 nucleotides. The record is from the annotation of a GenBank genome assembly. NCBI's taxonomy places the organism in Eukaryota, Metazoa, Chordata, Amphibia, Anura, Pelobatidae.
GUUGCAUUAGUGGUUAAUGUGGCUCAAUAUCAUUAAUGAGGAGGUUAUUUGCAAUAAGUGUCCUGCACGUGCAACUAAUGAGUCAAGGACAUUAUUCUGGGAGCAGCCCCCUAACAUUUACACUACCAGGUGAAUUAACAUUUUGUAACGAUUGUUAUUUGAUAAGAAUGUGGCUCUUCCAACAUUCCAAGGCAAGUAUGUGUCACACCCUAUAAUUAGUAAC